RNAcentral lists this ribosomal RNA (253 nucleotides) under uncultured bacterium. RNAcentral describes it as "partial 16S ribosomal RNA". It matches the Rfam family "Bacterial small subunit ribosomal RNA", at positions 524 to 776 of the family's 1533-position model. The record is from RNAcentral.
UACAUGGGGUGCAAACGUUGCUCGGAAUUAUUGGGCGUAAAGCGCGCGUAGGCGGUUGCUUAAGUCAGAUGUGAAAGCCCUCGGCUUAACCGAGGAAGUGCAUCUGAGACUGAGCAGCUAGAGUAUGAAAGAGGGUCGCGGAAUUCCCGGUGUAGAGGUGAAAUUCGUAGAUAUCGGGAGGAACACCGGCGGCGAAGGCGGCGACCUGGUUCAAGACUGACGCUGAGGCGCGAAAGCGUGGGGAGCAAACAGG